This 344-nucleotide unclassified non-coding RNA is filed under the name plant metagenome. RNAcentral's name for it is "partial contains 5.8S ribosomal RNA, internal transcribed spacer 2, and large subunit ribosomal RNA". The stretch from base 1 to 105 matches the Rfam family "5.8S ribosomal RNA", at positions 50 to 154 of the family's 154-position model. The record is from RNAcentral.
GAAAUGCGAUAAGUAAUGUGAAUUGCAGAAUUCAGUGAACCAUCGAACCUUUGAACGCACAUUGCGCCCCCCGGCACCCCAGGGGGCAUGCCCGUCCGAGCGUCAUCUCAGACCCUCAGGCCCCGGCCUGGCACUGGGCCGCGCGCCUCCCCGCCCCACGGCGGGGGACGCGGGCCCGAAUGCCCGCGGCGGUGGUGCCCCGGAUCGAGCGACCAAGGCCCGACGGCCCCGCUUCAGGUCCCGAGGGCGCCGCCCGCCCGCCCCCCAAGCUCGCGGAGCCGGGGUGCGAUUUACCCCCAAGCGGUUGACCUCGGAUCGGGCAGGGAUACCCGCUGAACUUAAGC